This 440-nucleotide ribosomal RNA is filed under the name uncultured bacterium. RNAcentral describes it as "partial 16S ribosomal RNA". It matches the Rfam family "Bacterial small subunit ribosomal RNA", at positions 338 to 795 of the family's 1533-position model. The record is from RNAcentral.
CCUACGGGAGGCAGCAGUGGGGGAUAUUGCACAAUGGGGGGAACCCUGAUGCAGCGACGCCGCGUGGGUGAAGAAGCGCCUCGGCGCGUAAAGCCCUGUCAGCAGGGAAGAAAAUGACGGUACCUGAAGAAGAAGCCCCGGCUAACUACGUGCCAGCAGCCGCGGGAAUACGUAGGGGGCAAGCGUUAUCCGGCUUUACUGGGGGUAAAGGGGGCGCAGACGGCGAUGCAAGCCAGGAGUGAAAGCCCGGGGCCCAACCCCGGGACUGCUGUUGGAACUGCGUGGCUGGAGUGCAGGAGGAGCAGGCGGAAUUCCUGGUGUAGCGGUGAAAUGCGUAGAUAGCAGGAGGAACACCGGUGGCGAAGGCGGCCUGCUGGACUGCAACUGACGUUGAGGCCCGAAAGCGUGGGGAGCAAACAGGAUUAGAUACCCCAGUAGUC